UUUUUUUUUAUGUCGAGCAUUAGGAGAAUAUAAAAAGUUCUAUUUUUUUUUUGGGAUAGACACAUGAGUUGUGCCAUUUCCGAGAAAAUAAAUAUAUUUUCAUGAAUAUUUUCACGUUCAUUAACGUAGAUUAUUCUUGAUUGAUAAUGUGAAUGAUAUGAGACUUGAUUUUAUUCAUAAGAACUUUGAGGAAUAAUUUGUACAUGAUGUUACAUAGUAUAAUAGUCUAAAAUUCUCCAUCUGAAUAGCAUUAGAUUGUUUUGAAAUGAAAGAGAUCUUACCUGUCCGGGAAAGAGAUAAAAGAGGUAAUUAAGUCUAUAAAAUUUUGGUCUAAGCUUUAAUAAAGCCCUUAUGUCAUAACAGUACUUUGAAUUAGAUUUCUAAUCUAAUUUUUUUCUUCUCGACAAACUACAUUAAGAAAAGUUGUCUCGAUAAGUUAAUGAUAACAGAUUUCCUAAUUUGAGUUUUUUUUUGUCGGAAUCAUUUUCGUAGCUCGAAGUCGAAAUAAUUGUUUGCACAGAGCAAACAUUGUUAAGAAUUGAUUCAUAGUAGUUACAAUGUUUUAAGUAAUUUAAGUAUGUUUCAAGAAGUGAUCCAUGAUCUAAAAGUUAUAGGAUAGUUCAUAAAACUAACUCAAUCAUGGUGCUUAUUAACUUGUAAUAUCUUUAAUUUUUCUGACAAACUAUUCGUAAAUAUAGAUAUUGCAGCGAUUAAAUUCAAAAAAAUAAGGAUUUAUACCCAUCGUCUCCCGAACCGUCUUUCUCUCACCCUCGGGUGGAACACAGAGACUGCGGUGGCGUGGGAGUGCGAGAGAGAAAAAGAAGGUACAGAGGGUUAAAAGAAGAGGGAAAAAGCAGAAGAAAAGAACGAGAAGGAAAGGAGCAGAGGGGAAGGAAAAGAGCGACGAUAGGGACGCAUCGCCUGUGAGAGAAGGAAGAAAGCAAAACAGAGAGGGAGAAAGAAACGAGAGACGAAAGAAAGGAGAAGGAGGGAUGGAAGAGAAGAAGAAAGAGAGACGAGAAGAGAGAAGGAAGAGAAACGAGAGGAAGAAAAAGGAAAAAAGAAAGGGUUCGUGCACUUGAUCGGCACCUGCGAAAAGAAAGAAAAGCAGAGAAAAAAAAAAAGGGAAGAAAACAAGGAGAAAAAUAAGAAGAAAAUUGUGGAGGACUUAGUUUUGAUAUUAAAUCUAAGUUCAGAAAAAAUAUUUGAGGUAUGAUUUUGAAUUCUCUCAUAUUUUUAUUAAAUAAGAUAUAUGUUUUGAAUUAUAAAUUGAUGAAUCUUGAUAUUCUCAAUUAAUUGGAUAUUCAUGUAAUGAAGGAAAUAAAAGGAAUAAAAAAUAAUGAUAUUGAAAUAAUAAGAAAAGAAAAUAUUAGAAUGUAUUCGUGGUGUAAUGUGCACGGGACUCAUUAGUUCCUUACAGGUUGAAAUCUAAAGGUGAAUUAUCGGCUUUGGUGAAGUCAUGGAACUCACGUAGUUAGUUCAAUGCAAGUUUUGUUCUAAAAGAUUAGGAGAAUAUAUAGACUCGUUUAGCUUAAUCUGAAGUUUUAGUUGCUUCCGCCAAUGCUUGAUAGAAUGAAUUUAAAUGAACAAAACAAGAAGAAGAUCGAGGAAUGUUUCCACCUUACAGCAGCAUCACAUAAGCUGGUGCGCACUUGUCAUGUAUAAUGUACAUGAGGCCUAUACAAAACUCAGCUCUAAUGUCAACUUAGCCUUUGAGCUUAUACCGCGGACGUCUUCCAAAGGCAACAUAGCUCCAAGCAACUCACAACAUUUCAAGAUACGGAUUGCUCACAGAUCUCGGGAGUCACAAGAGUGCUUGCAUGGAACGAAAACGAGGGCGCUUCUUCGUAUUUGUACGUGCACCUCCGCCGCCGACAUCCUUCUUCCUUUUCCUCCUCGUAAUCUUGUCUUCCGCAGGCCUAUCAGCUUCCCAGCUCGGAACUCCUACCGCUGAAUUCGAUACAGAUCGCCUCGCUAUCCUCUCCUUCAAGACUCUCGUCUCGGGCCCAUCCGGAGCACUGGUCUCCUGGGGGAACAGCUCCCUCCAUUUCUGCCGGUGGCGAGGGGUGAACUGCCGUAAUCAUGACGGUGAACCGAGGGUCACAGCUCUGGUGUUGGAGUCCCUCCGGUUGAAGGGUAAAUUAUCUCCGUCCCUUGCUAACCUCACCUUCCUCAGGAGACUCCGCCUCGGCAACAACAGCCUCGAGGGUUCCAUUCCGCAGGAGCUCGGCUUUCUAUCCCGGCUUCGGUCCCUCAAUCUAAGUUACAAUCAUCUGGGUGGGAUGAUUCCCACUUCGCUGCUCCAGAAUUGUUCCGAACUCCGAAUCUUCAGCCUGAGUCAUAACAAUCUCAACCGGACAAUCCCACGCAAUCUCAGCAACUGUUUGUAUCUACGAGUUAUUGAUUUGGAUCGGAACAUGCUCGAAGGAAACAUCCCCAGCGAUAUCGGCUCUCUACCGAAGCUAGAGACAGUCGCCAUCUGGGACAAUCUCCUCGAGGGAAGCAUUCCUCCGGAGAUCGGGAAGCUUGCAAGCUUAACAGGACUUCACAUGCGUUUCAACCAUCUCGAUGGACCUAUUCCUGCUGCGAUAGGAAACCUCUCCUCUCUUACCCAACUUGAUCUGUCCAAUAAUCUUCUUGCAGGAGCCAUCCCUGCUGCGGAACCUCACCUCUCUUCGCGGGCUUCUGCUGUGGAAUAAUCGUCUCACGGGAGCCAUCCCAUCCGACAUACGCAAUCUUGUUGGGUUGGAGAGACUUUUACUGAGUUCUAACGAAUUCACCGGCACCAUCCCACCCGAGAUUGGGAAGCUGGAGAAGGUAUCUGCCGUGUUUUUACAGAACAACAACCUGGUUGGCACCAUUCCCAAUACUCUGUGGUCUUUGCGGAACUUGGACGCGUUGCUUCUCCGUCACAAUCACCUGGAAGCGAAGAAUGCUGCUGAGUGGAGUUUCUUAGAUGCCUUGACCAACUGCACCCGCCUCAGGAUAUUGGAUCUAUCAAUCAAUCAUCUGUCCGGCGUGUUGCCAAAAUCCGUAGCCAAUCUGUCCAAAACCCUGCAAUGGUUAAAAAUCCACGACAACCAAAUAGCUGGAUCCAUUCCAACAGAGAUCGGAAAUCUCAGUAAUUUGACCGUGAUUACCAUGUCCUCCAACCUUGUUGACGCCACCAUUCCCGCAGCACUCGGAAGCCUUCGGAGGUUAAUACGGAUGGAUUUGAGCGAGAAUUACUUGGUGGGUGAAAUCCCUGCCACCCUCGGCAACCUCAGUCGAUUAACCUCUCUUCUUCUGUCCUCCAAUGAACUGCGUGGAUCCAUACCUCCGAGUCUUGGAAAGUGCCCAUUGGAUACCUUGAACUUGGCAUUCAACAAGUUAAGCGGUGGGGGUGCCAAAAGAGAUCUUUUACAUCCUCAGUCUCACCAAACUCUUCGAUAUUUCACACAAUUCAUUGACAGGAUCACUGCCGCCGGAAAUUGGGAACCUGAGGAACAUCCAAAUUGUGGAUGUCUCCAGCAAUAGAUUGUCGGGUGAAAUUCCAGGCACCAUUGCUCGAUGUGAAGUCUUGCAGUACCUUCACAUGCAUGGGAACUUUUUCCAUGGGCACAUUCCAUCGUCAUUUGGGCAGUUAAAAGGGCUUCGAGUGCUGGACAUUUCAAGCAACGAUUUAUGGGGACGUACACCAGAUUUUGUCGGGAGCUCUCGGAGCAUGACUUACCUUAAUCUCUCCUACAACAAUCUGGACGGUGAAGUGCCAACGGAUGGGAUUUUCGGAAACGUGAGUGCUUUCUCAGUGUUGGGAAACAUCAAUCUUUGUGGGGUGUUCCCCAACUUGGAUUGCCCUCAUGCUCCUCUGGGAAGAAGACUUCGUCUGUGAAGUUGAUUGCGAUCAUCUCUGUUGCCGGAGGAAUCUGUUGUGUCAUCUUUCUGAUUUCCUGUUUUGCUGCUCGUUACUGGCCAUGCAAGUCGAGGACACACUACUCCGUCACCGCUCGCAGCAAAGAUCAACACCGGAAGGUCACUUUUGCUGAGCUAACCAAAGCAACCGAUGGGUUUUCGCCUGCUAACCUUACUGGCACGGGAAGCUUCGGAUCUGUGUACAGAGGCGUCGUGGAUUGGGAAGACCACAAGGAUGUGGCGGUGAAGGUACUCAACCGGCAGCAAAGAGGAGCUUCAAGAAGCUUCGUAGCUGAAUGUGAAGCUUUGAGAAACACCAGGCAUCGGAAUCUCGUCAAGGCACUAACAUCAUGCUCGGGUGUUGAUUUCGGACGGAACGGCUUCAAAGCUCUAGUGUUUGAGUUCUUACCGAAUGGAAGCCUGGACGAGUGGCUUCAUCCUCCCGAAAGAGACGAACAGGGUUCGCUAAGCCUUGAACAUAUCGAUCGAUGUGGCUUCCGCGUUGGGCUACCUUCGAUUGUUCACUGGGAUGUUAAACCGAGCAAUGUUCUUCUGAAUCAUGGUUGUUUGGAUGGAGGAGUAAAGAAAAAAUAGAAUAUCAUGAUGCAAGUAAAAGAAUAUUUUCGAUUCAAGAAAACUAAUGUAAUAUUUAAAAACAGGAGGAUUUAUAAGAAUACUUACAAGAUUUUUUCAAGUGCACACACUCUCUAUAUCCUUACUUCAUGAACUAUAAUCUUAUUUAUAGGACCUGCGAUGGUUAUUGAAAUCAUCCUAUAACCACUAAAUCAUGAUAAUUAUCUACAUAGAUAACUAUGAAUCAAAUCUUAACACUCUCCCUUGAUUCAUAGUUGCAUUGUUGAUUAAUAUUGACUUCCACCAAAUGAUUUUAUAUUUAUAGGUCAACAUAAGUCAGCAUGAAUUAAUUCAAGACAAUUAGAUGCUCUCAAUGUCACUAUUAUAAAAAGUUUGGUCAUAUAAAUAGGUAGAAAAGAGAAAAGCAAGCAAGCAAUGUGGAGGAAAAUGAAGAAAAUAAUAAGUUGUUUAUGAUUCAUUCACAAGUUCAUAAUAUCUCAAAUGAUAUUUGGUUUCUAGAUAGUGGAUGUUCUAAUCAUAUGUCAGGCAUAAAAUCAAUAUUUAAAGAUAUUGAUGAAACUCACAAGUUAAAAGUUAGACUUGGAGAUAGCAAGCAAAUCCAAAUGGAAGGGAAAAGAACAAUUGAGGUGAAGAUAAAUCAAGGGAAAGUAAAAUACCUUGAUAAUAUUUUCUUUGUUCCUACUUUAUCACAUAACUUGUUGAAUAUUGGACAAUUGAUAGAUGAUGAAUAUUCAGUAAUAUUUGAUGAUGAUUCAUACACUAUUAAAGAUAAAAAAUCUGGUUUGAUUAUAGUAAAUAUUCGGAACAUUUUGUUUUGUGUCAUGCAAACAUUUACUAUAAUCAAACCAGAUUUUNNNNNNNNNNNNNNNNNNNNAUAUUCGGAACUAUUUUGUUUUGUGUCAUGCAAACAUUUACUAUAAUCAAACCAGAUUUUUUUAUCUUUAAUAGUGUAUGAACCAUCAUCAAAUAUUACUGAAUAUCCAUCAUCUAUCAAUUGUUCAACACUCAAGUUAUGUGAUAAAGUAGGAACAAAGAAAACGGUAUUUUACCUUCCCUUGAUUUGUCUUCACCUCAAUUGUUCCUUUCCAUUCCACUUGAAUUUGCUUGCUAUCUUCAAAUCUAAUCAACUUGUGAGUUUCAUCAAUAUCUCUAAAUAUUGAUUUUAUGCUUGACAUAUGAUUAGAACAUCCACUAUCCAGAAACCAAAUAUCAUUUAAGAUAUCAUAAACUUAUGAAUGAGUCAUAAACAACUUACUAUUUUCUUCAUUUUCCUCCACAUAACUUAUUUGCUUUUCUCUUUUCCACCAAUCUGCCUUCAUAUGACUAAACUUUUUACAAUAGUGACAUUGAAUUCUAAUAUUAUUAUUUUUUUUAUCAUAAUUUGAUUGUCUAUGUUCAUCGUGUCUAUCAAAGUGUCAUCUUCCUCUUCUAUUUCCUCUACUACGAAAUCCUCUAUUUCCUCUACUACGAAAUCCUCCUAUGCCACGUCCUUUUCCUACUGAUUUUUUGUCUUCUUUUGAAAUAGAAGACUCCCAUGUUUUUUGUUUAUUUUUUUUAAAUGACCUGUUCAACCUUACUUCAUGUGCUUGCAAGGAACCCAUUAGUUCAUCAAAUGAAUAAGUAGAUAAAUCUUUUGACUCCUCAAUUAUGACAACAACAUGAUCAAAUUUCAAAGUUAAACUUCUCAAAACUUUUACAAUAAUUAUAUGAUCUUUCAAACACACGAUAGAGGGUUUAAAAUUUUACCAUAAUCACCCUUAAUGAGCCUUGAAAUUCAUUUUGAAGUAUCAACCGAGCUUGCUUUGAGGUUGUCACUGUUGUAAUUCUUGAGAAGAUCAUCUCAUGUACAGCUUGUUGAAUGAAAAACAAUGUCUUUAAGUCCUUCUUUCUAUUCUCCCUCAGCCUGAUUUCGUCAUCUGAAUCUGCAUAUACAUUCUCUAUUAAGUCCUAAGGAAUUGUUAUUGAAAGUCAUAAUGCCCGGUUCAGAUUGAAACUAGGCUCUGAUACCACACCACAAAUGUUGGGGAUGGAGAAGCAAGGAAAACACAUAAUACUACGAUGCAAGUAAAAGAAUUCUUUCGAUUCAAGAAAACUAAUAUAGUAUUUAAAAACAAGAAAAUUUACAAGAACACUUACAAGAUUUUUUCAAGUGUACACACUCUCUAUAUCUUUGCUUCAUGAACUAUGGUCCUAUUUAUAGGACCUAGUUAUAACUACUAGAUUAUAAUUGAGGUGGUUAUUGAAAUCAUCUUAUAACUACUAGAUUAUGAUUGAGGUGGUUAUUGAAAUCAUCCUGUAAUCAUUAAAUCAUGAUAACAAUCUAGAUAGAUAACUAUGAAUCAAAUCUUAAUGUUUAGGUGACUUUUUGGAUUAUCAAAGUUGUCGGCAAGUCAUCGAAUAACUCGGUGACGUUGAGGGUCGGUCGGUUAUGCUGCUCCAGGUGUGUUUAGAUUUCAUUGAUGCUUCUCAUUUUGUUGAUCUAUAUACUCUUAGAUUUGCUCACUAUCAGACAAGAAGUUGGCAUGAAUGAAGUAAGUUGUGAUUCGUUCUGCAUGCAUUGCAGAGUAUGGGAUGGGCAAUAAGGUCUCUACGGAAGGGGACGUGUACAGUUACGGAACACUCCUGCUAGAGAUGUUCACCGGUAAGCGACCUACGGACGAUGGCUUCAAGGAAGGUCUGAACCUUGGUCGAUACGUUGAGGUGGCACUUUCCAAACGCGUAGUUGACAUCAUCGAUCCCUACUUGUCAUUGCAAGGGGGAGAAGGGGAAGCACGUCACGCAAAUCCAAUGGCAAAUGGAUUAAGCACGAGAGCGGUAGAAUGCGUUGCUUCGGUGCUUACAGUCGGCGUUUUAUGUUCCAAGGAAGCACCAAAACAGCGAAUGCAUAUGGAAGCUGUCGUAAGGGAAUUGCACGACAUCAGGGAUGCGUUUCUGGGACUGCCUCUGCUGUGACAGAUUUGGAUGGAGUGCCGACGAGAUCAUCUACUAUUUUGCAUUUAUUAGUCAAUUCAGAUUAAUGGAAAUCAAUUCAGAUUAGAAAAUUAAGUCUUUUUUUUAUUUUCAAAUCUUUAAUAGAUUUUGUCUUGUUGAUCGAAGUCAAUUUUAGUGACCCGUGGUCAACGUCACAACUCUGUAGAAGAAGGCCACCAUUGUUGUAUGUGUUGUCGAUUCACCGGCAGCCUAGUUUGACAACUAAAUUAUAGUUUAUUGACAACACCAGUGUGAGCCUAACAUAAUAUAAUGAUAAUGUUUUGUUCAACUCCCAUUGCAUUGCAGACUACAUUUCAUGAAAAUGAAGCUUCACCUAUCAUUGUGGAAAGUCAAUUAAACUGGCCAAUAGCUCCAUAAUUGACCUCAAUCAAUCAAGUCAUCUGGCUAACGAGUGGUCUAAUACUAUUAAAUGAGAAUCAUGAGAUUUGUCAAAAAAAAAACACACACACACUAGUAUAAUUUUAAUCACUAUUAAGAGAUCGAAAAGUGAGUAAAAUUUACUGUUUUACCAUUGUCAAAAAAAAUUAUAAAAUAUAAAUCUCAAAUAUCUGAAAUGGAAUGGGAGAUAAUGUCUUGGUAAAAUUUAAAAGUGAAGAAAAUAUGAUUUGAUCCAAAAACUUAGCUAUAAUUUUGACGCUUUCCGUAAAGCUAAAGCUCCAACCAUAAUAGAUUUCGAAGUUUGACAUUGUAUCGUAUAGAUUUCUCUCCUCAACAUAUAGGAGUAUUUAUUAUGAUCUUAAAUAUUGUAUCGUAUCGGUGUUUAAAGGUUGACUCGGUACGGUACGGUAUCGGUGUACCGAGUGGUACAUUAGGAUGUACCGAAUAAUUUUAUAUAUAUUUUUCUUUUAUUGUAGUACUGUAGCACUGUUGCAAUGUAAUAUUGGAACACUGUAGCAUGUUUUGUUCGGUACCGGACAGUCCGCGUAUUCGUCGGACCGGUACGUACUGUCCGUACCGGACGAUACUAUUCGGUAUUACAUACCAUAGACUUAAGUAAAAAUGAAUCUCAUUCCUGUAAGUUGAUCGAGAGCCAUAAAUGGACCACUCAAACAUUAAAUAGAAGUCAAAUUUUACUUACAGUUCUUUAAAUCUUAUCUAACACUUUAAGAAUACCCUCAAGAAUUUGGGUAGAAUCAAAUGUUUCAUUGGGACUUGGCAAAUUGUAUUAUUUGGCUUUGUUAAGAUAACAUUUUAUUAAGAAUUAUACAUUAAAUCGGAGACAACAUUGAACGUCCUCAUCUCAUGCACCCCUACACAUCUUGGUCAUUUGCUUAUAAGAAUACUGUCCUCGAUCACUUUAGUUAUUUGUGUUUUGUUCAUUACUGAUUAAUUUUUUUAAGCUAUUUUUUAUAUUGACAGUGAGAUUAUGGAUAGACUUACACAUGGGAGAUGUUCUCUAUGACUUUUGGGGGAUUCUAAUGAUAAAUCUUGUCAUAUUUGAUAUGGAAGAUUUGAACUCAAAUAGAAUUUUAGUAAUUGAGGAUAAAGAUUAGGUCCCAAGUACACCCUGGUCCUUUGGGAGAGUCAUGGCAUGCUACCUAACUAAAUGCAUUUUUUGUUGUUAUUGUUGUCAUUCCAAAAGAAGUCACAUUAGAGUUUUGAAAUUUUGGAGAUAAAUAUUUUUGAGAUCCACCAGUUAGAAGAAUACCUAACUAAAUGCAUUUUUUUUAUUGUUAUUGUUGUCAUUCCAAAAGAAGUCACAUUAGAGUUUGAAAAUUUGGAGAUAAAUAUGUUUGAGAUCCACCAGCUAGGAAAAUAUGUUUGAGAAAAAAGUUCUUUUGCCACCCUUUGAAUCAUCCUUUAAGACUUUGUCCUAGAUAGGUAAAUUCCUUAGUAUUUGAUCCCCAUGAUGUUAACAGGAGUGAUACUCUUGAUUCUGAACAACAUUGAUGAUUAAAGUAGAAAGAAUCUAUUGGAUGAUAAUAAAUAUGUAUAGUGAAAGAUGGUCUCCUUAUCUUAUUCCCCAGUGACUCAUAAAUUAUUGGGAUUGAUCUCUAUAGCAUAAAUCCAAUGAAUGAAUUUAUGGAAAUAGUUCAUACAUCCAAGGAUGUGAUUGAUAACUUCUCAAGAAAUGAAGUCAAAAAAUUUUUCGAGAUCAAGCUUUAGGAGAAUGUAUAGAGUGCAUUACUUCAAAAGCAAUGAAAAUAUUAUCAUGAAUAUUUUUAUCUUUAACAAUGUUAAAUUAUUCCUGAAUAAUGAGAUUAUUGAUAAGUUACUUGAUUUGAUUUGCAAUAACUUUGGUGAGUAAUUUGUAUAUGACAUUACAUAAUGUAAUAGUUCUAAAAUCUUUAAUCUAAACUACAUAUGUAUGGCCUUAACUGUCCCACAGCGAUGUUCUUAAAAAAAAAAAAAGAUAAUCUUUUAAGUCCACUCUGACGCCUUUAUAGAAUUCAAUAUUAAGACGAACUAACUUUAAUAAAACCCAUAUGCCAUAAUAGUCUUUUGAAUAAGACUUGUAAUCUAAUUUUUUCUUCCCGACAAACUACAUCAAGAAAAAAAUUGUCCUGACAAGUAAACUUCGAGUAUUUUGUGUGCUAACUUUGAAUUAGUAUACAUAUAGAUUUGCUGUGGAUGAUUUCCAAAUUGUAUCCGAGUGCGGGUGUUGGAAGAAUCCUUUGCAUGGAGCAAACACGACAUGAGUGCUUCAGAUCUGCAUGGGUUCUUUGGCCAUCCUCCUUCAUGCUUUUGCUUCUCAUGCUCUCUUCUUCUGCAGGCUCAUCAGCUUCCCAGUUUGCAACUCCCACCGCUGAAUCGACCACCGAUCGUCUCUCGCUCCGCUCCUUCAAGACCCUCCUCUCAGACCCAUCCGGCGCGUUGACCUCCUGGGACAACGCCUCCCUCCAUUUCUGCCGGUGGCGAGGGGUGACGUGCCGCACCCACGGAGGUGAACCGAGGGUCACGGGCCUCAAUUUGGAGUCCCUCCAGUUGGAGGGUAAACUAUCUCCGUCCCUGGCUAACCUCACCUUGCUCAGGAGACUCUGCCUCGGUAGCAACAGCCUUGAGGGUUCCAUCCCGCAGGAGCUCGGCUUUCUAUCCCACCUUCGGACUCUCAAUCUUAGCAACAAUCAACUGGGUGGGAUGAUUCCCAAUUCUCUGUUCCAGAACUGUUCGAGACUUCAAAUCUUCAGCCUGAGUCAUAACAACAUGAAUGGCACAAUCCCACGCAAUCUCAGCAACUGUUCGGAACUCCAAGUCAUCGGUUUGGAUCAGAACAAGCUGCGAGGAGACAUCCCCACCGAUCUGGGCUCCCUUCCAAAGCUCCGGGAACUCGUCAUGUGGAACAAUCUCCUCCAAGGAGGCAUUCCUCCUGAGAUCGGGAAUCUUGCAAGCUUAACAGGACUUUAUCUAGGCGGCAACCAACUCACCGGCGCUAUUCCUGCUGCGGUAGGGAACCUCUCCUCUCUUGCCCAUCUUGAUCUGUCAAACAGUACUCUUGUAGGAGACAUCCCUGCCGCAAUAUGGAACCUCACCUCUCUUCGUCAGCUUGUGCUGUGGAGUAAUAAGCUCACAGGAGCCAUCCCAUCCGACAUAGGCAAUCUUGUUAGCUUGACCACACUCUUUCUUCAUUACAACCAACUCACUGGCACAAUCCCAUCCGAGAUUGGGAACCUAGUGAAUCUGACCGUAUGUGUUUUGGGUGGCAACCACCUGGUUGGCACCAUUCCCAGGAGUUUGGGCUCCUUGCAUAGUUUAGAUGCAUUGAUUCUGGGUAGCAAUGGGCUACAAGCAAGGGAUGCGGCCGAGUGGAGUUUCUUGGACUCCUUGGCCAACUGCACCCACCUUAGAAUCUUAGAUAUAUCGAAAAAUGAUCUAAGUGGCAUGCUGCCAAAAUCCAUAGCCAAUUUGUCUAGAUCUCUGGAAGAGCUAGACAUCGGAGGCAACCAGAUAGCAGGAAGCAUCGCUGAAGAGAUUGGGAAUCUUAUUAGCUUGACCAAAAUCACGAUGUGGUACAACCUUCUCGGCGGUGCUAUUCCUGCAACGCUGGGAAGGCCUUCGGGAUUAGGAAGAGUAAACUUAGGAGGAAACCAUUUGGUGGGAGAAAUCCCUGCAACCCUCGGGAACCUUACUAGAUUAAACAUUCUUGUUCUUGCCACCAAUGAACUGCAUGGAUCCAUACCUCCGAGCCUUGGAAAGUGCCCAUUAAAUAUCUUGAAUCUUGAUUCCAACAGGUUAAAUGGUACGGUGCCCGUACAGAUCUUUGACAUCCCCAGUCUCACCAAACUCAAUAUUUCGCGCAAUUUAUUAACAGGAGUCCUGCCUUCGGAGAUUGGGAAUUUGAGAAACACCCAAAGUAUCGAUGCGUCCGAUAAUAGAUUAUCCGGUAGAUUGCCCAGCGGAAUUGCUGGAUGCCAGGUCCUCGAAAUCCUUUGCAUUGGAGGCAACUAUUUCCAGGGACCCAUUCCUUCGUCGUUUAGCCAGUUGAAGGGGCUUCGAGUGCUGGACAUUUCAAGCAAUGAUUUAUCGGGGCAUAUACCAGAUUUUCUUGGGAGCUUUAACAUGACGUAUCUCAAUCUCUCCUACAACGAUUUGGACGGUGAAGUGCCAAAAGAUGGGAUUUUUGCAAAUGCAAGUGCAUUCUCGGUGGUGGGGAACAGGAAACUUUGCGGGGGUAUUCCAGAACUUAGAUUGCCAUCAUGCCCUUCCGAGGAAAAAUCUUCUUCUGCUAAGCUAAUUGCCAUCGUCUCUGUUGUCGGAGGAAUCUUGUGCGUCACCUUUCUGAUCUCCGUGUUGGUUGCUUGUUAUCGAUUACGCAAGUCAAGCAGGCUUUCUUCUGUUACCUCACGCAUCGAAGAGCAGCACAGGAGGGUCUCUUUUGCCGAGCUGCUCAGAGCGACAAAUGAAUUUUCGCCUGCUAAUCUGAUUGGGAAGGGAAGCUUCGGAUCUUCCUACAGAGGAAUCAUGGAUUGGGAAGACCACAAGGAAGUGGCGGUGAAGGUACUCAACCUGCAGCAAACAGGGGCUGUGAGAAGCUUCAUGGCCGAAUGCGAAGCUCUGAGAAACGUCAGGCAUCGGAAUCUCGUCAAGAUACUGACAUCGUGCUCAGGUGUUGAUUUCGGAGGGAAUGACUUCAAAGCUCUAGUGUUUGAGUUCUUACCCAGUGGAAGUCUGGACGAGUGGCUUCAUCCUCCAGAAAGAGACGAACGGGGUUCGUCGAGAGUGCUAAGCCUCGGGCAGAGAUUGAACAUAUCCAUUGAUGUGGCUUCUGCGUUGGAUUAUCUUCAUCGCCAUGUUCCGACCCCGAUUGUGCAUUGUGAUCUUAAACCGAGCAACGUGCUUUUGGACGAUGACAUGGUGGCACAUGUGGGUGACUUCGGAUUGGCGAGGUUCGUGGGCAAGUCAUCCCAGAGAUCGACGAACUCGGUCACGUUGAAAGGGUCCAUCGGCUACGCUGCUCCAGGUGUGUUUCUCAGCUUUUCCUUUGGAUAAUUCACCACUGGAGAUUGAUGAACGAUGUGCAUGUCACAGAGUAUGGGAUGGGACAUAAGGUUUCAGUGCAAGGUGAUGUGUACAGUUACGGAAUGCUCCUGCUGGAGAUGUUUACUGCAAAGCGACCUACUGAUGAUGGGUUCAAGGAAGGUCUGAAUCUUCAUCGCUACGUUGAGAGGGCACUUCCAAAACAUGUUGUUGAGAUCAUAGACCCAAACUUGUCACUGGGAGGUGGAGAAGGAGAAGCAUGCCGUUCAAGUCCAUCGGCAAAUGAAUCAAGCAUGAGAGCUGUAGAGUGCAUUGCUUCGGUGCUCAGAGUUGGCGUGUCGUGUUCCAAAGGAUCACCAAAAGAGCGAAUGCAAAUGGAGGAUGUCAUAAGGGAACUUCACGACAUCAAGGAUGCAUUUCUUGGAUCGACUCUAUUGCGGGCGUAGAGAUGAUAUCAACGUUUGAUAAAUAUUAAGAUUAUAAUUUCUGUACCGCAUAUAAAUUAUGAACUUUUAUAAUCUUCCCCUCAUAACUAUUUUGACUUCUUUCAUCUUGUUAGCAUCUCAAUAUAUUAUUUGUUCUUCCAACAAAAAGAAAAUGCAAGAUAGAAAGUUGAAACAUCUUCCAGGCUAAGCCUUUUGAUUAUACAAAAUAUUUCAUGUAAUCCUUUUGCCCCAUAAUUAGAGUUUUUUUUUUUUUAACUUGUAAAUUGAUUCCUUUUAAGCCACAGCAUGUCUUGAAUCCGAACCGAUAUAAAUGUCAACUUACAGUGAAUUAUCUUGAGGAGAAAAGUCACAGCAGAAAGAAGAGAGAUAUAGAGAGGAUUAGUAAAAAUCGUGCUCCUAUGUCAAGUUUAUAGAUGCUUUUAUCAGAGCAACUGCAUGCUGUGGGGAGUCGGUCAUGUGAGCUUACAUUUCAGCGGCAAAGGAUUUGCCACAGCCACAAGUUUGUGUUGCAUUCGGGUUCUUAAAUGAGAAGCCUCCACCUAUGAGUGCAUCACUGAAGUCGAGCUGCAUGCCGUACACAAAGAGUAGGCUCUUGGGAUCACAAACUGCAAACUCAAAACCGAAAGUAGAAAUUAGAUUAUUUAAUAUGUGAUUGGCCAUGUUAUUUGACACACUAACACAUUAAUUCUGAUUCUUAUAAUUUGAACUACUAUUGAAAGAUACAAAUAUGCUAAGAUUACUCAUUAUCAUUAAAAGAUUUUUCGAAUUUUCAACUUUCCCAUAAGAUCCAUCUCCAACAGCGCAAAGAAAUCAUCAGUUACAACCCCACUAAAAAACUUUUCUCCUCGGUUAAUAUUGCUAGAAUAUUACUUGAUCAUAUUAAUUAAGAACUAAAUACAGCUUUGGUAUGAAUUUAUAGACUUUGCUGAGAGAGUGUCAUAAGGAUUUGAGGUCCACUAGUUUGCAUAAACUAAAAGAAUCUUACUUGCUGAAUGUAAAAAUUUUCAGUUUUCAGUUCCAUAUAUGUCCAGAUAAAACGAAAUUAAAAAAAAAAAACCUAAUGAAAGACCUACUCAGAAUUCAGGUUAUUCUAAUAAUACUCCAAAUAAAUUCCUAAGAAAAGAAGAAAGUUAAAAUCAUAUUUAUGCAUGAAAUAGAUUUAUGUGACGAUGGAUCUAUCUGGUUGUUUAUUGGGUUUCUCUCAACAGUUUAAUCAGUGCCGAUUAAGAUCCUAAGGGAAGGAGAAAGGAAGAAACAUACCAAUCACAAAACCAUUGUAUUCUAUCACUGAGUCAUCAGGUCGUGUGUUGGCACGGUUUUCAAACUCCAUAGUGUAUGACAUGCCAGAGCAUCCACCUUGCUUCACUCCAAUUCUCAAGCACAGAUCUUCAUUACGUUCAGAUCUCAUUUUACUCAGAUGGUUUAAUGCUUUUUCAGUUAAUGAAAUUGCAGGGGCAAAGCUACCAGAUGCUGGAGCUGCUGUAUCAUUUAAGUGCAACGAUAAGAAGGUGAUUCUUAGCACAACAAAUAAAAGAAAACAUUGUUCAAUAUGACUAAAAAAUUAGGAAUCCAAAACCCAAUAAAAGAAAAUGGCAGAAAUAAAAUCCAAAACAUAUUUUGGACAUUUGAACUGAGAAUGUCAUCAACAAAGAAAUUUUGAUAUGUAGAAAAUAUCUUACAAAAUAGCCAUUUAUGCAGUGAAUUAUAAUUAAGAUAGAAGAUAGAUUAAGGUUUAGUAUAUAACUGUCAGAUGGUUGCAUCAUAAUGACAUGUCCGAUGUUGCAAUAGUGGUCCAGUAAAGCUGAGUUGACAAUAUUUCAUUCAUAAAAUAUGGACAACCAAACAUGGAGUUUGCACGUCUUUUCUUCUAAGUUGACAAAUUCAUUAGUGAGGGAAUAUAAACCAAGUCAUUCAUAUUGUUCCAAUUAAAUCAAACAUAAAGGUCCAUAUGAAUGUGGAUGCAAGUGUUGUAGCAAAAAUCAUAUGAUGUUUAGAUUGGAGAUAUGUUUUCUUUUGUUUGUUAGAACAUAGAACAAGAUUGUUACAUCUGAUUGUGGCUCCAAAAUAAUUAAUAAGAGAACUGGAACGAAAGAUUUCAUGGAGACAGCAAGGUUAUCUGCUUGUUGUGUCUCUUUAAAGCAAAAGCAAAUGUUGAAACUAGUAAGAGUUGUAGUCAGGAAAUUUCUUUAUGACAUUCAUGUUAUUGGAAGAAACCCCUGGGUGCAUCAGUAAACAAUCUUUCAGGCCUAAAGCGGAGGAUGAAUAUUUGGAAAAUUGCAUCAUAAAACACCAAAAGAGAAAAGGGAGAAGGACAACAUGCAUCAUAAACAUACGGCAGUGCAGAAUCUUAUUCUUUGGAAUUCAUGCAGCCUGACUCUUCAUGUUCAAUCUGAAAAAUGAGUCCCCUUGAACCCAAUAUUGUUAUUCCCAAGUUUGCCUUUGCCUAACUCAGUAAAUGCAUACAGAGUAGCUCAAAGAAGGAUAUUGUGCAGAAAACAUUACAUAAAGAAGCAGAGUUAAAGAGAACCGAGUUUUCAUAUAUACAUGAUCCAAAUGGCUCCUCGAAAAAAAGCAACACCCUAUUACAUAAUGAAAUGGAGUUAAAGAGAGCCAAGUUUCUCAUAUAUAAAUGAUCCAAAUGACUCCUCCAAGAAAAGCAACAUUAUGGUUAGUAGAACUUAUGCAGAUUAGCAUAAGAUCAAAUCCAGGAUGAUACAUGUUCAGUGACCAAUUUUACUAUCAGGAUUCAUAUUUUGAGAGAUCUUAUUCCUAUUUUAGUAGCAUUUCAUUGGCUUAUGAGAUUAGCUUACCUCCUAUAAUUCCUAUGUAUACAAAUGUUCGUCAGGCCAUCAGACCAUUUUUUUAUGCAAUUAAUUAAGAGAUGGUUUAGUAGUAAUCUCUUCCCUUCUGUUCUUCGAAUUAGUGGAAACCCCAAUUGGAGGGUAACAGACUGUCAAAUAAGUGUUUUCCGAAAGUCGAGAUAACAAUUGGAGAGUUAUCUCAAACCUCUAAAAAUUCCGUCGACCUCAGAACCAAAGGUCUAGAAAACCCUAAAAUUUUCCGGCUUCAGAUCAAAAAGACAAUACAAACUUUUUCUUCCAGAUCAACAGAGAGAUAAUCAAGCUAAGAUUUGUGGUUACAACCGGAAAUUACUGGACAAACAUCAAAAAGGGAAAGUUUUUCCAUGCGAUCAGAUGAUUCAUAAGGGGAAAGGAACAGAGACUAACAGAUCAACUGACAAAAGAACUCUUCAAUUAGUAGAAUCAAAGACAACCAUUACCUGAAGUAGCCGACAAACGAAUGCGAGUUAGAUUCCUGCGAUUGAGAUCGCGGGGUAACCUGACGGAUGAACGAAGGGCGGCGGUGUUGCGGGACUCUGUGCAGCGCAGGUGGCAUAGGAGCUGGCCAGGGAUUCCGGCGGAGAGCGCCAUCGGAGAGAGCGAGAGGCGGAGUCGGGCGAGGAAAGUCUUAUUUUUCCGGAGAUUUCGGAGAAAAAAAAAGGCUUUAGAAAUACGCGGUCGUGUUUGGCGUGGCUUUAUUGUUAUUUAUUUACAUCGAUCCUUAUACAAAUUAGAAAUAGCGUAUUUAGGUUUAUAAAUCGUAAUACAUGAUAUUAAAACACCUAAAUCAACUAUAAAUAGCACUAUACAAUAACAACAACAACAAAAUCAUAAAUCUUAACUAUUUAAAUUUAACUAAAUAAAUAUUUUAAUAUCAUUAACAUAUGUAAAAAUUAUAUAUUUAAUUAAAUUUAAGAUACUUACAUUUUUUUUUCAUACUAUUAAUAUUAAUUAUUUUAUCUUUUUAAAAUUUUUUCUCAUCUUAUUUUGUAUUAAAAUGAUAUCUAAUUAUUUAUAAAUAAAAAUAUUUUUAUAUCUUUUUUAUAACUCAACAUAUUUAUCUUAAUAUUCUAAUUUCGAUAGUAUUAAUUAUAUAUAUAUAUAUAUAAUAUAAAGUAAUCUUAAUAAUCUUACCAUCAUAAAGAAUAUUAAUAAUAAAAAUGAGUCAAAAUAACAAAUAUACAUUAAAUUUAUACGUAAGGAUAUAUAUCCGAAAUAUAAAUUGUGUAUUUAUUGUAUUUAAUUUAUUCCGUCACCCAAAGCAGGCCAGCCUCAAUUCUGGUUCGGUGGGCCCGCUGAUUGGUAAUACGAUCUUCCAUCUCUCCUGGCCGCAGACUUGGAUGAUAUUUGUGUGUCAUUCUCUCAAUCCACACUUGACGUCUCUUGAUUGAUGGCUUGGUGGAAAUAAUUUAGUGCCUCCUUUAGAUAUUUUCUAAGAAGGAAAGGAAAAUUAGAAAAGAAGGGGUGUUUCAGCUUUGGAUUGGCUCUCUAGGAGUUUGGGUCGAUGUGAUUCAUCCCAUUAGCUAGCAACUGGUAGGCUUUAAAUUUGGGAUUGGUACGACUAAUCUAAAUUGACAAAUGAUCAGAUUCAUUGUGUUGAACAUGUUUCAAAUCAGCCUAUCGAUUACAUCAUACGAGUCUCAUAAAUAGAUUGAUCCACAGUGAUUAGAACAUUUGCCCCAACACGACUGUGUUACUCUGCACCAAAACAAUGUGUUGACAACCAACCCUCUAUCAACAAUCUGUGUUUGUCGAGGAGAUACGGGUACGGUUGACCUCCUAAACCCUGGAAAGUGGCUGCAUCUUUAGACUGAUUGGCAUGGGAUUAUGCAACAUCGAUCAUCCAUAUUGAAGACGUUAGAGUUAUGAAGUACAAAGAGUAAUAGUAUGCAUGAAGAGAGUUUUCUGGAGCUGGUACCUCCAAAGAGAUGCUUCACAGAUGAUCAGAAAAAUCAAUGAUAGACCACAACAUAUGAGCACAACUCGUAACUUGCCGAGCUUUUUACUUUCUAAUGUGCAGCGCACUGCUAAUGAACUUUUUUUUCAUUGAAACAGUAAUUUCAUAUGGACAGGAACAGAACCACUGAGUGUGAACUAAAGAGAAUUAGAUCUAGCAAAACAUAUUAUGCCUGUGAAAAGGAAACUAAUAAUCCUACGAAGAUGGCCUUGAAGGGCCUGCGCACAAUGACAAACUCCUCACUGCAACCUUCACUGCACCCACAACACCAAGCUGUCUCAUAUGUGGGCUCAAACCAAGGCCAUCACUCUUUGCGUUCUCAUCAAUCUGAACGUUAACAUAAAAUGCUACCUGCAAAUGCGGAACUAUAACGUUUUAAUGUAGAUCUUAAUUCUUUUCUUGCCUCUUAUAUGGUAAGAGAAACCAAACUAUAUUCAAGUAAAGCCAAGUAAUUCACCAACAAGGUUGUUAGCCUUAUGGUUAUUGGCACAGUGCGUACGGGUGGAGGGAAGUGACUCUUCAUGAGUGAGGUGGCAACGUCACAUAAGACAGGAACAACAGACUCAGAAUAAACCCAUGUUAAAAGAAUAUUACUCUACAGUUUAGUUUCAGUGACGAGAAUGAGGAAGGGGUGAUGCACUAGUUAAUAAGUUCUAUAUCUCCUCCCAGAUGCAAGCAUGCAAGAAUUCCAAAGGGUAAAGUUCACAGUAGAAUACUAGAAAAAGAAAAAUCAAACAAAGAGGAUGCUUGAUUAUUAAUUACAUACCUUGCCAGAUGCAUUCCGCACAGGUGAUACAUGAAGUAGAUUCCAAAACAAGCUUCCGUCUUUCCUGAAAAAGUGGCAUCACAGUGUUGCUAUCUAUGCGUAAAAUGAAAUUCUAAAUCCUGUAGCAUUCAUCCAUCAAGUUGUAAAAAGGCACCUGUAGUUCAGGAGACGUACUGUACAAGCACACUCGACCUGAAUGCUUUGCCUUAUCUAUAACAACAAAUAAUAAGUGUUAGGAUGUGCAUUGUGGAUACACGAGGGAGGCUCAAGUUUAAUAAGAUCCAUAAGAUGAUGGUUGCUAGUAUCUACCUGAUGUAACACCUCAACUUCUGUAUCAGGUCCAUUCAAGAACUCAUAGUUGUGUCCCAAUAUCUCAUGUCUUGAGUAACCUAUAAGAUAAAGGCAAUUGUUUAAAAGAUGUGCCCAUUCUACCAUUCGGGUAAAAUGUUGGGUUUUAUCAUACUGAGAAAAAAUCGCAUACAGAAGCACAUAGACUGACCACGGAACCAGACAAAAGAUGGCACUAAGCAAUUAAGUUGACUAGCUGUUAAUGCAACAUGGGAUAAUUACUAGUGACAGCUAUGCGUCUUAUAUUCCUAUUCUGCUGCACAAGAAUCUAACCAAGCAGCAAAAAUUCAGUUUAAGGGCAUAAGUUGACAUAUGAUUGCCAGCAGAUAUGGAAGUAGCUACUGAAUGGAUGCAAUAUGAUCUUUUGACAAACCUUCCAAAGGCCAUGAGGUUGUGGUCUGAAAAUUUGUUGGUCAAACAGCAUGUCAAAGACAUGCCAACCAUCUUUGAGUAACCUAACAAGACAAGCUAGUUUAUUGCAUUUCAUUCUCAGGCAUGCUUAUCAUGCUUUGAUUUUUAAUGCACAAGGUUCUCCAAAAGCUCCAAGUCAUACCACAGGAUCCACUUCAACAUUUAACUUUACUUCAAAUCAAAAUUUGUUUAUCUACCUCAAUUACAGUUAAGUUGAUCCUCAGGGAAAGAGGCAGAUACUUAGUAGCUCGGUCAUUGCACUUGACACUUACUAGGUAGGAAAUCUACUUCAAUCAAAGGUGGAAAAUUGCACAAGAUAAAGUAAGAGGAAAAGUCAUUGAAACCAGCAAUAUUGGCAAACAAAUGGGACUAUAGGAGAACUCUGAAUUCUCAAAAGGAUGUUGGAUUAAAACACUGCAUUUAAAUUGUAAUAAUUAUCAUCCAGCAUUCGUCAAUAAAAUGUAACUAUCAUAAAAGAAUGUAGGUUUACAGCACCUGUCAGACUUAGGAAUUCAUCGCUGGCGUAAACAAUGGGCAUGUCAGGUAACUGGGGAUCAGUCCUGCAAGAAAUUAAUUGAUUUCCCUAUUAGCAUAGCAACAAGUAAAUCCCCAAGCUCCGCCAGAUUGCUAAGCUAAAACAAUAUCAGCAGGAAUGUGUAACAACUCACAGUACAAAGCUCUGUUUGAUUCUACCAAGAGAUAAAAUAAGGGAUGAACUGAGUGGGGAGAUGCCAGCCAAUCUGCUUCUCUGGCUGCUGACCACUCUGCCUGUAAGCUUGCUAUACUGAGUCAGAGCUGACAGGAUGCUGUUGGCAGCAUCUGAGGCCCUCUCUUUCUCUUGCUCGCUCGCUUCACGUGAUUCUUCAGCCUCCAAUCCUGCAGGGAGCAAUUGGCACAACAUUAUACCAAUCUGGUUUCUGAUAAGAUUUGCCCGUCAGACCACUCAGGCCUCCAACACUGUCAUUUAAGAUUCGAUAACAUAAGAACAAGCAAAAAAUGCAGUAAGUGAAGCACAACAAUGUCAAGCGAUGAAUCUUCAAUUGGUCGGUGACGGAACAAAAAUUCAACUAAAAUAGAUUAAUUUGAGAGGAAUUAAACUAAUUCUUAAUUAUUAUCAUGAAAAAGGAAUCAGAAUUCACCUCUAUUGUCGACAUCCACAAACAAAUCCGCAGCAAGAUUACACCCUAAAUCGCAGUCGGAGCGAACCUCGUUCCGGCACGCCCCAAACAACCUCCCUCUAGCUCCUCCACAUCUAGCCUCCGACAACGACCUCGAUCGCCUCGGGAUCGGCACCUGGACCGCCACAAAGUGCGCCACCCUCCCGUCGUCCACCCCAAACACCGGGAAAAGAUGGAAUAGUAUCCAAUGCGGCGUUCCGUCCUUCCGGUAAUUAAGCAAGCUGAUCUGUAGCGUCCGCUCCUCCCGUAUCGCCUCGCGGAUCUCCAACACCGACCGCCGGUUGGUGGCAGGGCCCUGGAACAUCCGGCCGUUCCGGCCGAGGACCUCCUCACGGGAGUAUCCGGACAUGGCGAGGAACCCGUGGCUGGCGAAGACGAUGGGGUGGCCUGCGACACCCGGGUCCGUGAUCAGGAAGCAGCCCUGGAUCUCGUCGAGGGCCUCCGCGAUCCAAUCGGAGUAACGGGCGGUGAGCGACUGGUCGAUGAGGCGGCGUGAGCAUCCCGCCAUGACCUCCGCCACCGCCGAUGGUGGCGAUGUGUUCUCGGCCCGACGCCCGAUCGACGGAAUCGUCAGCGCCACCAUACGCGCCGCCGCGGCGGAGAUCGCUUCUUUCACCUCAUAACAUACUACCAAAACGGAGGAGUACCGAAUUGCCGCUUCAAAUAAAAGAUCAGAUGAGAGAAGGGUUUGUGAUCAUUAUUCGCUAUAGACAAAGGUGAGACGGGGAGGGGGAAAAAAUCUGUGGGAAAUGGUGGGAUAAAUUUUUAUGUUAAUACGUUGCUUGAAAAAAUUAGUGGACGGAAAGGCCAAAAAAAUAAAAAGAAAAGAAAGCAAAUAGAAGCAAUCGGCGAAGAGGAGAGACGAGAGGAGGAGAACACGCACAUUUGUGUGUGUAUGGGUUUUAUGUAAUAUCGAGUCGAGUUUGUGAUUUGGUAAAUAUAUAUAUAUGUGAUUAACGUAUAAAAAAGCAAGGAAGGAAGGAUGAGUGGAUGAGUACAGACGUGGCGAGUGGCUGUUUCCAUGUGGUGACCACGACGUUAUCCGUAAUAAUUGCGCUGGCCGCGUUCCGCCGGGAGUUGAUGACGCGGAUACAAGAGAGAAUACGAGAAGUGGUGGAGGUUUAACAACCCCAAACCUACCCUCGUGCUUAUUGGAACGAUUAAUGGGCCCCAUGAGGUGGAUAUCGGGUUGGAGACGACUCUGGAAGUCCCGCAAAAACACGAAUCGCAAGUGUUGUCCGAUUGGUUGUUGUUGCGGAACCCGUGGGUCCCAGGCGUGUUGACAAAUAGGAAGAUGAGAUUUCCUGGCUGGCGACACGGCCGAGACAGGUGAGCUAGGCCGAAUCGAAAACGAACCGCGGCGGGUUCAGGUUGGACCGGUUCGCCGCAACCGUUAUGGUAAUUAUCGGAUGGUGACUGGGCAACAACUGUACACGCGUGCAGUUCGGAGCGGACCAACUUGGAAUCCACAUCGGCCACUCGAGAUGAACGGCCAAGAAACCGAGGAGACCACAGUGUUCGUCUACCGAUGCCGCCUAUUGGUUGGUGGCUGGUGAGCCCCACGGUUGGAAUCAAUGGUGCAGAGGGCCCAUUUCUUGUGUUUCGUAUCUCGGCCGAGACACAAGCGCCGCACAGUUCACGUGCGGAACACUCGGUGUCCUCCGCUCCCCCACGUUUGUGGUCGGAGUUGAGCUGCACGCUGACCUCCUUUCCAUCUCAAUUGUCUUGAUAUUAUCAUUAUUUACUUUUCCCUUUUAUAUUUCUUUUAAUUCUCUGGGAAAAGUGCAUAGGUAUAUUUAUAAUCAUAUGGUCAUAUAAAUGUCACUCGGAUUAAACAACGUAUAUUAAGUACACGGAAAUCUUCCAAGUGGUCGAGCGUGUAACGGGUUCGAUGGGUUGGGCCGUAUCGGUUCAUCUUCGGCAUCAUUUGUGGGUCGGAACAGCCCAUUAGACCAAAUCAGGUGGAGUGUUGGUGUCGAUUCUUCCACGACUUUGUCAAUAGGUCAGCCAGCCUAAUGACAAAUUUGAGGGUUGGGAAGAAAGAGUCACUCUGCCGUAUCGAAUUCUCCUUCGCGAAGCACAAAUAUUAUUCUCAGCUCACGUAAAAAGAUAUUAUAUUUCUAAAGAAAAGUCAAAAGGUAGGAUUUUUUUGUUUUUUUUACUUGAGACAUCCUCGAUGCAAUAAUAUUACAAGUUUAAUAAAUUUUUAGUUUGAAUCCAUGUAACAAUAUUUUACAUAUUUAAUUUAAAUAAUUAAGUUAUAUAAAAAAUUAUGAGUAUAUAAAAAUACUAUAAUUAAUGAAUUAGAAGAUUGACUCAUUCUUCUGACAAGUGUUGCUUUAGCUAUAUUGUUAGAAAAAUAUUUUGGAGAUUAUAAUAAAUAAGAAUAUUAUUUCGAGCUAAAAAGGAACACAAAUAUCGCCCAACUUGUUGUUGCAGUCAAUCCGGCGGUCAAUGUCACAACUUCUACUGGAUUGGGAUGUACCAACUAAUAGCCAAUUCACCAUUGAGUCAUAUCAAAAACCAGUGUUGCAUAUCGAAGUCGAAGUCAUCAGCUCCUUUUCAUCUAUUUCAUUUACAAGUGGGGCGUCACUAUAACAUCUAAUUCAUCUAUUUCAUUACAAGUGGGGCGAUCUGGCAGUUUGUGCCGACGGAGUCAUGUCGACCGGCGUGGCGGGGUAUUAAAUUGUAGGUGACAUUAACGAGGCGCGCAAUCGCUGGUCUCUAUCACAUUAGUCUCCACGACGACGAUGAAUAUAUUAUUAUGUAGCAAUUUUAGGGUAUUAGUAACUCAGCUGUCCACUUAAUUGAUUAAGACUUUAAUGAUUUAUCAUCAUAUUUUAAUAUUAAAUUUAAUGAAACUAUCCUAUGAAUCUCUCUUUCUUUCAUCUCAUAUGAAUAUUUUAUAUAAAUAAAUCUUUUUUUACUAUGAAAUUUGAGAGGCUCAAGAGAAGGUUAAUUAGAUGCCAAGCAUCUUUGUUCGUCUUCGAUCUCUUAAGCCUAUUUGGACCCCUUACUUCUCCUGACGAAUACUUCGCCGUGAUUCAUAUCAUCGGCGUCACUUGUUCAGGCAAUCGAAACAAAGAAAAGUAAAGGCCGAUGCCUGAGAAAAAGAGAGUCUUUAUUUGAUGCAACAUAUGUCGUACACAGCAUCCAUGGGAGGAAGCAAUCACACGGAACGUGUGCUAUUAUUUUGCGAUGCGUUGUGAGGACGGCUCCUGGCAGAGGAACAAAGCCCAGAAGCCGCCGAGGCAGACCGCAGCCGCCAUGCUCCACACCAUGACCGCCACGGGCCGCGGCAUGAUGGCCGCCACCUUGCAGGAGAACAUCAGGGUGAGGAGCGUGGCGAGACACCAUACUGCGGCCUUCAGCCGUGGCCGGUCCGCCGCGGUGCCUCCCUCCAAGCACCGAACGCAGCGCAGCAGGAGCAGGAGGUCGGCGUAGGCGAUGACCACGAAGGCCACGGCCGAGGGGUCGUCCCUCGAGCGGUACACGGCCGUGACGGAGCUGUAUGUCAGGACGGCGAGUCCCAGGGUGGAUAACCGGGCGUCGGCAUCGUGGUCCGUGUUGGCGGUGGACGAUGGUGUGUCGAGGGGGGUUGCGCUAAGCUGCUGGGAAUCUCGGUCUCUCCUCUGCAAAGCCAAACGACAAGCUACAAUCGUAGGCUACAUGAACUAAUAAAGAGCGCGUCCUCAUUCCUUCAAGUCUUUCAUGUCACAAUUCUUUAAGGGUCCGUUCUGACGUGCCCUUGUGGGAGUUUGGCCGUCCGUUGGCUUGUUUGACGCGCAAGAGCCCAUGACUUGGUCGCACACGCCUUUAGUCUCGUCCUCUCGCAGAACAUAUUAAAAUCAUACCCGAUAAUACUAAUAUUCAUUUUUUGUCAUUUUUAUUAUACUUAAUAACUAAAGUUAUUUGAUAUAACGUAAUCAAAGUUAAGUUAUGGCCGACAAAUGGAAUAUUCGAAUAAAGUGAAUUAAAAAAUUACAAAAGAAUAUGUAGCAUCACGUUAUAUUUAAAAUUAUCUUCAGAUUUUAUCCCUUCGAAAUAUGUAAAUUUCAAAAAAUAUUUCUAAGGAUAGAGAGACUUUACUGAACCCUUAAUUCCUAUACUUCUUAACUAAUAUGAAACUAAAUGAUAUACUCUUUUCCCAUAAGGAAGUUAGGGAUUCAUAAUGAGCUUAAAUGAUGGCUUUUAUUUUUUAUUUUAAUUGAUGAUGACUUUUUCGGGCUUGAAUGGCAACUUUCAUUUUUUUUUAUUUUAAUUGAUGAUAGACUUUUUCGGGAGCGAAUUUGUUCGGAUUGAAUGACGACUUUCGUUUUCUUUGUUUUAAUUGAUGGUGACUUUUAUUUUCUUUAUUUUAGUUGAUGCUCCCUUUUCUUUUAUUAUUUUAUAAAUAUCUUUCUUGAAGGUGCGAGUGCCAAAAAAAACAGAGGCGCAAAGGGAUAAGGCAAGAGUGUUGAUCUUAGAUGACGAUGACAAGAAAUAUUUAUGAGGUUAUAAAAGAUAUCAUCGAAAAAAUAAAAAAAUAUAAAUACUUUUCCCAAAAAAAGGCACAAAAAUAGAAGCUUAUUAAGAAAAUCGUAUGAGAGUUUGUUAUUCCCAUAUUAUCCAUUUAAAUUAGGUUAAUAUACCCAUUAAUUAAAUUUACGAUAUUUGGUUCAGUUAGCUUGCGAAUCACCAUUUCUUGCUGAAGAUUCGUAGGAGUCGUUCGAAGUCGCGGAGAAGAUGAAGUUUUUUCUUUCAUUCUUUAUUUUCCAUUUUUUUUCUUCCGAUUCUUAGUCUUUGCACCUUCUAAAUUAUUUUUGAAUUAUAAUGGGAGGGAGAGGGAGAGGGAAACGUUGUGGCUAAUCACCAACCGAAAGCCGACGCAUAAAGCUUAAUUAUUAUUUAUUCAUAACCUUUAAAAAGCAGUGCUUUAGUUCGGAGGAUGUGCUUCCACGUAGCAGAUAUUUGGGUGCGAAACUUGGUGUGGAGAGAUUUUUGUUUGGGUAAUGGUGAAGCUCAUAUACGUAGCUGGGAAACUUCGAUAAUAGCAAGCUAUUAAGUGUACAUAGAAGAGAUACAUAGUGCGUUUAACACACUAAUUCGAGGAUGGUUUGGCGUCGGCGGACAGAUCAACUGGCACACGGUAAUUUGAGGACGGUUUGGCGUCGUUGGACAGAUCAACUGGCUCACGGUAGAUAAAGAAGGCCCAAAACCCACCACCGGCGGUUGCGGCCGCCAUGCAGUACACGAUCGCAGCGACGGGCCAGGGCAUGAUGGCGGCGACCUUGUGGGCGAACAUGCCCGUGAGCAGCGUGGCAAGGAACCACACGGCGGCCUUCAACCCACCCCGGUUGCUCUCGGUAGACCUUUCGAACUUGCGAAGGCACCAGAACAGGAGGAGCAGGUCAACGUAGGCGACGACCACAAACGAGACCGCCCAUGGGUCGUCGACGGAGCGGUACACCGCCGCGGCCGAGUUGUAUGUCAGGAACGCCAAGCCGAGCGCCGGAAGCCAUUGCGAGUCGUUUGCUCUAUCCAUCGUCGACAAAGAGCAUCAGGCU
Molecule: long non-coding RNA, 26383 nt
Filed under: Musa acuminata (dwarf banana)
Lineage: Eukaryota; Viridiplantae; Streptophyta; Magnoliopsida; Zingiberales; Musaceae
Description: long non-coding RNA (MACU_LNC002416)
Source: RNAcentral